AGUCGAGCGAGGUAGCAAUACCUAGCGGCAGACGGGUGCGUAACAUGUGGGAAUCUGCCUUUUGGUUCGGAAUAACAAGAGGAAACUUGUGCUAAUACCGGAUAAGUCUUUACGGAGAAAGCUUUAUGCACCAUUGGAUGAGCCCGCAUUUGAUUAGUUUGUUGGUGAGGUAAUAGCUCACCAAGACUACAAUCAAUAGCUGUUCUUAGAGGAAGACCAGCCACAUUGGGACUGAGACACGGUCCAGACUCC
Molecule: ribosomal RNA, 252 nt
Filed under: uncultured bacterium
Lineage: Bacteria
Description: partial 16S ribosomal RNA
Rfam family: Bacterial small subunit ribosomal RNA
Source: RNAcentral